RNAcentral lists this long non-coding RNA (765 nucleotides) under Homo sapiens (human). Its description in RNAcentral is "HSALNT0321749". Lineage: Eukaryota; Metazoa; Chordata; Mammalia; Primates; Hominidae. The record is from RNAcentral.
AUUCUUCUCCCUUUUCCAAUAAUUGCUGCACAUGCAGGAACUAGCUCAUUUACUGGCUUUGAAUAUAUACAGAUCCAGGAGAUAUGAAAUAAUUUUAGGAGCCACAGAAAAUACUGUAAACUUUUCACUCCUCAGUGUCUUAACACUCAGAUUCUUGUGGAGGAAAACCCUAGAGACUCCUUCAAUUCAAUUCAGUUCAAUUCAAUUAAAAAAGUAUUACCUUUCUCAGAAGACCAUCUGUUAUGCCUCUUUCUGAUUGUUCUUCUCUCUUUUCUUCAGGGUCAACUUGAAAAACCUGGCCCCUGAGUUUCACCUUUCAAAAUCCUUUUCUCAUUAAAAACCCGAACAAUCCACCAGCAACUCAUGAGCUAGCAGCAGAAAAGAUGACAGAGCUGGGGCUGGCAGAGCGAGGAAUGAAAGAGAGAGAACAGAUCAGUGUUCAGUUUGAAAGAGCCAUAAUUCAGCAGUCUUUCUACAUUACCUCUCAGAAGAAGGAGCCUGCAUGUCUAAAGAGAGAAGUGAAGUUUAAGUACUGGAAAAAAGGAAAGUCUUCAGCCUUGGGAAUGUAAUAACCUGGGGUCAGCUGAGAACCCUGAGGAGGACUGACCCAAUCAGCUGCUGGGAGAAGCAACAUAACUGUUCUGCUGGAGGGAGAAACAAAUUCUAAUCAGAUGUGAACCAACUAUCCAGGGAGCUUCUGUUGUCAUGAGAAAAGGAAGUGCUCUUCCUUUCAACUGGAAAACUAGAAUGUACCACUUUUUUUUU